AAAAAUUCUGUGAUGAAGAGAGUAGUUUUGAAGGGAGCGGCAGCGAGUCAGGGGUGGUGGGAGCCUGAUAGCCGAAUUCAAAAUGAAGCGCACUUCUGAGAAACUCCCUGAAAUGAAAGUAGGGUGCAGUCGGAGGAAUCCGUUAUCUUUUUAAGCUGGCCUGUUUGGGCAAUCAGAGUGGUACCGCGGGAAUCCCGUCUCUAAA
This 205-nucleotide non-coding RNA is filed under the name Planococcus massiliensis. RNAcentral describes it as "T-box". It matches the Rfam family "T-box leader". From Rfam's summary of the family: Uncharged tRNA acts as the effector for transcription antitermination of genes in the T-box leader family. T-boxes are found upstream of many aminoacyl-tRNA synthetase genes and some amino acid biosynthetic genes usually in Gram-positive bacteria. The anticodon of a specific tRNA base pairs to a specifier sequence within the T-box motif, and the NCCA acceptor tail of the tRNA base pairs to a conserved bulge in the T-box antiterminator hairpin. Lineage: Bacteria; Bacillati; Bacillota; Bacilli; Caryophanales; Caryophanaceae. RNAcentral also lists the same sequence under 1 other name. The record is from RNAcentral.